UUAAAGGUCUCUCGAAUGCAUUUAUUUUGCAAAGUGAAAAAAACAUAUAAAACUGAAGAUACUCUUAAAAGUUCAUCCGAAGUACCGGGUCGUUGACAACAUUAGAUGAGCAAAGGACAGAAACAGCACCUAUAUAUCUACUAGCAAGAAAAAAAAGACUAUGCACAAGUUGCAAGAAAUAACAUAAAUAAAUCAUAGGAGUGGGUAUUCUUUUUCAUAUAAACACUAAAGAAGAAAU
This 238-nucleotide long non-coding RNA is filed under the name Trifolium pratense (red clover). Its description in RNAcentral is "long non-coding RNA (TPRA_LNC008852)". The record is from RNAcentral. Lineage: Eukaryota; Viridiplantae; Streptophyta; Magnoliopsida; Fabales; Fabaceae.